AGGUGCUUGUUAUGUCUGUUGGAUUCUCCAACGAGGGUGUUCGUCUGGUUUCGAUUUUGAACAUCUCCAAUGGACACGGGUGGAAGAUGUUUGAUCAAAAUCAUAGUGCCGGAGAAGAUUUGGUCAAUGAACUUGGACAUGGCUCGCCAAAGAUUGUAAUUGGCCACAACGUAAUGGAUAUGUUGGAUGAAGUGGUUGAUACAUCACAAGUCGUGGGGGUUAUUGAACUGGAAUGGUUACUUUCGCAAGGACAGAGGCCACACUUUCAAGCUCAACCAUCAUGGUGGGAUAUUGUGAGCACGCACUUGUCUUUCGAUUUUCAGUUCGUUCCAGUUCAACCAUUUGACAUCCAUUAUUUCACUCUGCUAUUCAUCAGGGCUCAAAUGCGGUGGUUACACUUAUCUAUGGAUAACUUUAUCCAACAAGCAUUCAGGAAAUUUGUAUUACCUCUUUCAAUCUGUGGACAACUCCGACCCCGAGAUUCAAACAUGUAUGUACUUACCAAUUCAGAGAAAAAUGAAAAUCGGAUUCGUGCUCCACCUACCUUUACUUUUGAAGAUUUGGCAGACUCGACUUCUGAAAGUGAUCAACCUUCAAGUCCAAUAUCAAGCUCUGUUGGCUCUGACAGUGAUGAUUGUCCUUAUGCAGGAGUUUCAAUUUACUCCAAACAGUCCACACCAUCAAACCAGUGGCCUCAGAAAAGCGGAUAUUUGAAGUUUAACUUAUUGAUCCUGAAUUUGAAAACUACAUCAACAAGAGGCACCUCGUUCAUAUCAGCGUUUGAGGCCUAUUUGCCUGCCCAAGACUCAAGCUUCCACGAACCAAUAUUUCCGGAGGGAAUUAGUCUGGACAAGCUUUUAGAGAGCGGAUACUCAUGGAAUGGAAGCACUUGGAGCAUGGAAAUAGGAGACUCUAGUAGGCUUGUUAUUUCUGAGAGCGAAUGUCUCGAGAGACUCAAAGCAUUUGCUAAUGAUGGUUUCGGACCUCGUCAACCAUUUGCACUUGUAGUGCCAUGCGUUGAAGCUUUGGAUCAGUUUCUUUUCAUUCUGAAGAGGCACAAUUGGUCCAAGAAGUUCUUUGAGGCAUGCCGUGGAUGGUUGGAUGUCAAGUCCUUGAUGUAUCUUAGGGUUAUGACCCCUCGUCGAUACUUCAUCAAAGCCUUGGAUCUGGAGGACUCGGAAUUGUUCCAAAUGUGCGAGCACGUUGAUAUGCGACCCCGCGGACGGUUCGGACUAGUGCCUAAUGUCAUUGACAAGAUUUUGAGCUCAAAGUUCAAAGAUGUGAACUUUUACAGCCAAGCCUUGCCAAUCAAUCUCGGUGUUCAGCCUCACAAUUUGCUUUUUGUACACGGAAAAGCUAUCAAGUAUUCUGUUGAUCGUGAAUGUGAAUGGCUAAGUAUCAUUUAUGCCAAGAACAUUGCCAGUGGCCGAACCUUCCAAUGUGCAAUUGAACCAUACGGAGUUUGGGAUCCCAACUUGAUUCAAGACUUCGGUUACAAGCGAGACUCUGACUCUUGGAUCUUGGAACAAAACGGAAAGAUAAUGCCUUGUUUAUCCCUUUUGGAUGCCCUUAUCGAGUUCUUUAGGUUCGUUUGUGCUGACUCUGAGCAGAAGAAGACCAUUCUCAUUUGCUCCGUUUUUAACGAAUCCUUGGCACAUCUCUUUGCAAUUGUCCAGUUCAUGCAAGCUAACGAUGUAUUCUUCAAUGACAUCGUUGGUAUUUUUGAAAUGGCUACUUUUCUCUGGCAGGAGAAUAGAACACAGUUCUUUACCACCGAUGCUAUUCUGGAGCACUACAAAACCAAAAUCCGAGGCCCAUCUCACAAUUUCAAUUCUUCGUCAGACAUUGAAAGACAAGGUGAAAAAAUACUGGAAUGUCUAGCCCUUCAAGCAAAAGAAGGCUCCAUUGACAUAGAGAAGAUGGUCGUCAAAAAUGCAUUCGGAUGGAAUUCUCCUCCUUGGAACAAAUUGCUCAAAGAGUCGCAUGUUCUCAUGUUCCAAGACCAUGUUUUUCCCGUGAGGUUGACCUCAAAUGUUACCAUAACGAAAAAUCUGUCAACAUUCGUGGCUUGUCAAGUGGCCCAACCAGUGAUAUCUUUCAGAGAUAGAGAGUUCUUAACUCUAUCUCACCCAAUGACCAACAUUCAGGUGCUUGAUAGAAUACAAAUAUCUCCAGUCAGGCCCUUUUUUCUGAACAUCAUUCACCAUGGAGAGUCCAAAGAACUAGAGAAGGGAUCCAUUAUUGGAUUGGUUUGUCCCCUAGACAGAUUUCAGUCGUUUGAGUGUGAUUUGAAAUCCAAACUAGAGGCCAUCCACCAAGAAAGGGCAAAACUUCCUCGUUCCAAUUCAAGGGAUUGUCUCCUACAGGAAAACUAUCAAAUCGUCGAGAAUGCAGAACAUAAACCAGACAUCCGUGUUCUAAAUCAAAUCACAUUGAACUCAGCCAAGAAAGCAAAAAUGGGCCAAAAGGAGAACGAGAGCAUUCUAAAAGAACCUAUUAUGGAAGUUAAAUCAGAAAGUCCACGUAUUAUUACUCCACAUGCUAAAGAGCAAAAGAUUGAUCCUUCUUUCGAAUCUUUUGAGGGCAAAUCUGGGGAGAACUUAGCCAACCUGCUUGACAAAUUCGUGGCUACCAAAGACUAUCAAAAGCAACCUGACCAAGGAAACGAGCCAAGAGAGAGGAGGGCCCACCAACUGUCUUUGGAAGAACUUCAAGACAAGGUCUAUGCCCUGUUGGACUUUCCGUCGUUCGCUCCCCUCAUUUUGAAUUACAUAAAAUGGUGUUCCAUGAAUGGAAAUGAUGUGGAUGAAGCGGUUGGUGAUGCCAUUAUCACCCAUCUGGUUGGCAUGGGUUGUGAAUCCUUAGACGCUCUUAAGGACACGUUUGUCAAUCUAAGCUCAUGGAAUGAGUCUCAAAUACGAAGUGCACUCACUCGGCAAUUCCCUUCCAUCGAAAUGUUAAUGUCUAGGGACUUGAUGGAAACCCUAGUUGGAAUAGUCAUCCUUGAAUUUGGUCCAGCAAGCCAAGGUGAAACGUCCCUCAACUUGACGGAAGUCACAACACAUAUUGCCCCUAACAUAAGCCAAACUAUGCAUCAAAAUGGGUCCUCUGACACUAGUAUUUUGGAACUAAAUGAGCCUGAAGAUCAACCUAAUUGCGAUGCAAAAUCCUCGAGGUUAAAUCAUGAUGGGCAAGUCCACUUGCUUCCACUUAAAAGCAUCAACUUUAGUUCGAACCAAAUUCAAGAAGAGAUAACUACCAGGCACAUUAUUGAAAAUUACAUGAAAUGGAAAUCGAGUGUCAGAAGGGAAUCAAUAUAAUCACAAGGAACUGCCAUUCUGCGCAAAACAGUCAUGGAGCUGGAUUCGUUAUGGAAGGAUUGUCUCCAUUUCCGAUAAAAAUCAUCUUGUUGUGAGGGACGAAUCAUCUCGAGCAAAUCCUUGCGAAAACGAUGGAAAAGUGCAAGGAAAGAUCAUCAACGAAUCUACACCAACCAUCAAUCAAACGGCCAUCAUCUUUCCUGGUCAAACUUGGAAUUGCAUGGGCAUGACGACAGAUGAAUUACAGAAAUACGAUCAAAUAUACUGGGGUUUCAUUGCCAAAGUGGAUUACCUGGCUCAUGUGGUCAAAGUGGGAUUUUGCAAGGACAAUUGCUUGCAAUAUGCCUCCAUCGAUUUAAGCAAAGUCAUUGGCACUUUCAAAAGAAUUUUGCACCAUCUUCCCUGUCUAUUUCAUAUGGAUUCUACCUCAACCGUCUCAUUUUUGCUUCUAAAUCCCACUCCGUCAUUUGUUAUCGUGAAACUAGUCUCAUCAAGCAACCUCCAAACCUUGAAGUCGUUUUUUCAAGAAAUCACAUUUCUCCCCAUCAACGAGGAGAAGGUUUUCUGCAUCCAGUCAUUGCCUUCUCCGACGUUUAAAUUCACAGAUUUCAACCGGAAGUUUUUGACGGCCAUCGAUAUCCAUCAAGAUCCUCAAAAAAUUCGAACAUUUUGUGAAACCAUUAGUCCACGAACUCGGGUGCAACUCUUGUUUAGACCUGGCCGGGUGCUUGUUAUGAGUGAGCUACAGGAAGAUCAGAACUUAAUGGUGGAAGCUAUAUCUCAAAUCGGUUCGAACGAAGGGUCGCAAAUGGUUACCUCCGAUUGGAUAGAUUUCUGUUGUAGCAUAAGUCCAAGACACCCAGACGACACAAUUCCAAUCAAUCAAGGGAAUUGCCGGUCUUCCACCUCAAGCACCUCAUCUCAAGCCUAUUCUGAUGAUGAUAUUCCUGGUUUGGAACACAAAUCUGAGUCCCCAAAUUGGUCUGAUUCCAGUUACAUUCAAAGACGAACAAUGCUUUGCAAAGAACAUGCCAAAUGGAAAAGACACUUAUGUCUAAAUUAUCUCAUGAAAAAAUGUUCCAACCGCGGAAAAUGCCCCUUCCAACACAAUUUGGCCGUUUGCUUUAUGUCUUACGAAUUAUGUUGGGGCUUUAUUUAUGGGAUCUGUCCAAGGCAAAUAUGUUUUUAUCCUCAUAAGACCAUCGAGACUAUAUGUGAAGAAUAUGAUCGGAGAGCCGCAAUACUGAUCGACAACUGCAAGGCGUGUGGUCAUAACGAAAAAGUCAAUGAAGACCCGGACACACAGAGUGUUCCAAAACACGUAAUUGGACUUUCCAAGAAAAGAACUUUAUCUCCAAAUCCUAACACUGGGCCAAGUUCAAAAAUUGGGCCCCGCCUGUUCUCUACCAAACUGUGGACUCCGUGAUAUUCACACGCAUUUUUGUGCUCCACCAGAUAACUUGGGUUCGAGUCUUCAAGAAGGGGAAUCGUCAUCUUCUCGUAUUCUAUCAAGAUCUCAUAUCAUUCCAACUUCUAGUCAACAAGUAUUAUGUUCAUAUAAAUAUUCGCCAAUGAAAUUGUUUUUCUCUCAGAAUUGAAUAAGAAAGAAUGCUAAAUUAAAAGCAAAUCGACUUUUUGUAAUCAAAAAAUACCUGGUGCCGAGGAAAGGAAGCGAUGUGACGCCUUAAACAAGCCUUGUUACAAAUGUUUAAACGCUUGAAGGAGAUGUUUCAAUAAGGCGCCAAACUUAGUCGAAAGCACUUGUCACGACGCUUAGAGUAAUGGGGAAAGUUUCCAAUUUUUGACAAUUU
RNA transcript from Tigriopus californicus, 5131 nucleotides. RefSeq lists it as uncharacterized. The transcript has 2 exons. The record is from RefSeq and is a predicted model, not a curated record. NCBI's taxonomy places the organism in Eukaryota, Metazoa, Arthropoda, Copepoda, Harpacticoida, Harpacticidae.